Molecule: unclassified non-coding RNA, 163 nt
Filed under: Penicillium coprobium
Lineage: Eukaryota; Fungi; Ascomycota; Eurotiomycetes; Eurotiales; Aspergillaceae
Description: partial internal transcribed spacer 2
Source: RNAcentral
CUGCCCUCAAGCCCGGCUUGUGUGUUGGGUCCCGUCCUCCAAUUCUGGGGGACGGGCCCGAAAGGCAGCGGCGGCACCGAGUCCGGUCCUCGAGCGUAUGGGGCUUUGUCACCCGCUCUGUAGGCCCGGCCGGCGUUUGCCAACCAACCCAAAUUUUUAUUCA